RNAcentral lists this non-coding RNA (46 nucleotides) under Schistosoma margrebowiei. The record is from RNAcentral. Lineage: Eukaryota; Metazoa; Platyhelminthes; Trematoda; Strigeidida; Schistosomatidae.
CCACUGCCGAGGAGUCCGACAACAGGACGAAACGGCCGUCCAGUGC